This 305-nucleotide ribosomal RNA is filed under the name uncultured bacterium. RNAcentral describes it as "bacterial SSU rRNA". It matches the Rfam family "Bacterial small subunit ribosomal RNA", at positions 335 to 656 of the family's 1533-position model. The record is from RNAcentral.
UUGCCUACGGGGCGCAGCAGUCGGGAAUAUUGCGCAAUGGAGGAAACUCUGACGCAGUGACGCCGCGUAUAGGAAGAAGGUCUUCGGAUUGUAAACUAUUGUCGUUAGGGAAGAAAAAGGACAGUACCUAAGGAGGAAGCUCCGGCUAACUACGUGCCAGCAGCCGCGGUAAUACGUAGGGAGCAAGCGUUAUCCGGAAUUAUUGGGUGUAAAGGGUGCGUAGACGGGACAGCAAGUUAGUUGUGAAAGCCCUCGGCUUAACUGAGGAACUGCAACUAAAACUAUUGAUCUUGAGUGCAGGAGAG